RNAcentral lists this long non-coding RNA (618 nucleotides) under Equus asinus (donkey). Its description in RNAcentral is "lncRNA (ENSEASG00005033837.1)". Lineage: Eukaryota; Metazoa; Chordata; Mammalia; Perissodactyla; Equidae. The record is from RNAcentral.
CAGGCACCUGCUGAAAGGUCCAUCACCUUCUACUGCCCUUGACUACAGAUCCAUACAGGUGCCCCUAGCAUCAUCAUCUUCCUCAUCUCAGGGAUUCCCGGCAUCCACUCACUUUCAGCUCUGCUCACAAUCCUAUCAAGCACAUUGGAAAAUCUGGCUACCUGGGACCUCUGGAAAGGCUGCAAGGUGAUCUCAGGUCCUCUCCACUUAAUUCCCUGAUGGAACCGAUCUCAGGAUCCUGGGAAGAAGCAGGAAAGUCAUGUAGAGGGCAAGUUCAGACAGUGGGAUAUAUUACCUGGUUCUCAGACCUGAAGCUCUGCAUCUUCCGUUUCUAUGAUGCUGUAGUAAAGAACCAAAUCCAGACUAAAUCUGGCAAGGAGUUCCCGGAAAAUACAGUUCCCAGGCUUUCAGCCCUUCCAAUAAAGAGAAGAGCAGCGAAAGGAAUGGAGAUGAAUGCCGAUUGCAAAAACAUCAGUAUCGCUCUUUUUUUAAUUGGUGUUUAUUUGAUCGCUAAUGAGGUUGAAUGUUUUCCCUAGACUUACUGUGUUUUCCAUUUUGUGGUAAAGAAGGAAGAAAUUGUUGUUUUAACAAAGUUCCAUUUCUGUAGGGAGUAAACAG